UCCUUCUUUGGAGAUGAUGAUGUCUGUGAUGAUAAAGAAGAAGAAGACACAGACGCAGAAAGAAAGCAUAGAAGAUCUGCUGCGCUCAGUGGUGUUGCAAUAUUUGC
This 107-nucleotide non-coding RNA is filed under the name Skeletonema menzelii. Lineage: Eukaryota; Bacillariophyta; Thalassiosirophyceae; Thalassiosirales; Thalassiosiraceae. The record is from RNAcentral.